ACAGGUGGACGCGCGAGUCAACAGGUGUCGAGUUGGCAGACAUCGUGGACUUACAUCAAAUGCGGAUAAAAUCGAUGGUACUCUCCGGUACUUCGAAGCUGGUGGAAAACACGGGCGGUGCCGAUCCUGCGGCAACCGACUUCCUCGCACGAAGACUCGCAAAUCGAAUCUAAUACAGAGCUAUACCGUCGUCGAUAAGAUUACUCGGCACUGGUGUGCGGCAAUGUGAGUCAAAGAGAUCACAGGUACAAGUCGGCUCGCGUGGUUCUCGAUAAUGCUUGGGAGGACACGGUGGUAGUUGUUCCUGUGUUUUGCAACAGCAAGGAGCAUAAGGAUCCUAAAUCGUAAUUACAUAGAGAAUUAUAUAAAAAAAUUAAAAGGCGUGUGAACGUACAGCCCCCGUUAGCCAUUGAAAAACCAAACUACUACUAAGCGCGCAGAAAAUAUAAAAUCCAUGCGACGGAUCUUUUUUCAAGAUUUAAUUAAAUACAUAGAUAUUUCAAAGAUUUCGACAGAUCUUUGUGUCUGCCACACAAAUGACGAAUCUUAGUCAUAGAGCGGCG
This is a long non-coding RNA of Pseudomyrmex gracilis, 563 nucleotides long. RefSeq lists it as uncharacterized. The transcript is spliced from 5 exons. NCBI's taxonomy places the organism in Eukaryota, Metazoa, Arthropoda, Insecta, Hymenoptera, Formicidae. The record is from RefSeq and is a predicted model, not a curated record.